This 253-nucleotide ribosomal RNA is filed under the name uncultured bacterium. Its description in RNAcentral is "partial 16S ribosomal RNA". It matches the Rfam family "Bacterial small subunit ribosomal RNA", at positions 524 to 776 of the family's 1533-position model. The record is from RNAcentral.
UACAGAGGUCUCAAGCGUUGUUCGGAUUCAUUGGGCGUAAAGGGUGUGUAGGUGGCGCCGUAAGUCGGGUGUGAAAUCUCGGGGCUUAACUCCGAAACUGCAUUCGAUACUGCGGUGCUUGAGGACUGGAGAGGAGACUGGAAUUCAUGGUGUAGCAGUGAAAUGCGCAGAUAUCAGGAGGAACACCGAUGGCGAAGGCAGCUCGCUGGGACGGUACUGACGCUGAGGCGCGAAAGCGUGGGGAGCAAACAGG